AUUUGACUUCAGAUUUACCAGCAAAGCGGUUUCUCCUGUGGGAGUUUAUGGAAGUAAAAAAAGAAAAUGUGGAAAUCAAAUGAAGGAUGCAUGGAGUUUUCAAGACUGUGAGCAGGAUUAAGAGACUGUGCUGUUUUCUUUUGGAGAAGGUGACAAGUCAUCCCAUGAGGAAUUAAACUCCAGCAGCAUCAGUGCCAGGAGGGAUUCAUUUUAGGCACACUUGGAAAUCCAAAUCUCAUGGAGACAUUUUGAGGAUUAUAAUGAGAACGUGCGGCUUGUCCCUCUCCUAGACAUGUCCCAGGCCAAAGUCACAGCAGAAGCAGAAGCAGGAUACUUCAUUUCUGAUCCUCCUUGACUCAACUUGGGGAUAGUACCUGGUACCAGGCGAGCAGAGCCAAUACUAAAUGUGACGACAACAUACCGCUGGCCACUGAAGUCAUGAGCAUGACAAUCCUACACAGGAAUCAAACUGAACAAUGCCGAACUGUAGGGAGUGUGGGAGCGAUGAGGUCUGGGAGAUCAUGACCUUAAUUCUCUCCAAGACAGACAGUUUAAUUAACACUGGAGGAAUCCUCACUGGCUCCAGACUGCUACAAUGGAAUGUUCAGGGGAAUUGGAUUGCCAAGGGCCUCUCGGCCAUUUAGUAGACUGUGAAGUUGACAGACGGUGCCCAUGAAUGUUGGAUGAUGACUGGAGGUCUGUCUGGUGCCAAGAGAAUGCAUAAUACAGCAUGGAUACAGUGAUUCCACUUCUGCCCAUCAGAAACACAGCACGGUUGCUGCAUCAUCGGCAGAUCUGCUGUCAGAAGAAAAGUGCUCCUACUUAAAGUGGAAAUCCAUGGAACACUGCUUUCAGGUGUGGCAGAGGGAAAGAUCUAGUCUCGUCUAGACAGGACUGUCAGGGUGUGGAAAGUGACCUACAAAACACAGGAAGAUGAAGACAAGGAGGAGGAGAACAGAUUGGUAAAACAAAUAAAUAAAGUAAAAAGGAAUGUUCUGUGAGUACAUGUCAAACAGUUGUUUGUCACUUAAAACAUUUAAUUGUUGGCAUCCCCACUGUCACAUCCAUCAACUGCAUUUCAAGGGUUUUAAUUUCAGUUUAGUAACAUCUGGUGGUUCAUAUGUAUUAUAUGGUGAAAAUGAUGUUAAUUGUUGUUUGAAAAAGUUGUUUGAAAGUUCUUUCUUUUUUGUUUGGAAGAAAUAUAUACUAUGAAUGCUAUUCUGUGCAAGAUGCUCUAAUGUUCUAAUAUUUCUCAUCUAUUUUAUGUAGAUUUGAAAAAAAAAAAACAAUGUGUGCAUCUGAGGACAAUUCCGGUACAAAUGUAUGUAUAUGACAUCCGCUAUGAAAUAAUAUUCACAAUUUGGUCACAGGGGAGCAAAGACAACAUUAAGGACAUGUACUCAUACAAUAUGCAAAGCUCUGCUGAGAAACAUGCCCAGAAUGUGGUGCCCUUAAUGUGAACGAAUAUGUACAGCAUUUCACUUUCAACAUUAAAACAUAGAUUAUUCACGAAUACUUAACAUAACAUAACAUGACAACAGUUAUGUAAUGCUGAACAUUAGACAUUCUAUUAAAGGCAAUGUGUAAUAAUGUGGAUAUUUACUUGAUGUUUGCAUGUUUGCUUAGUUAUGCUAAAGUUAUAUUAUAAAGAGGUUUUAAAAGUGUAUGUACUUUAUGUACUUAUGUAUGUAUAAACAUAUUUAUAUGAUUUAUACUGAAAGACCACGGUGUAACACACGUUUUCUGCGAGGGUCAGAAAUACCACAGCAAGGUAAGUCCUAUCACAGCCAUGCUGGGAUCAGUUUGAGGUCUCCCUAUCUGCCUCCUUCCAUAUUCGUCUGUGGUUACUAACCCCAGUUAAAGUGGGCAGAUAGAGGCCCCCACUAGGUUUUCCAUUGACAUUUUAUCACACUUCCUUUUCCUCUUCUCUGGGCCUCCACUCAGUCUACCAGACAGUCAAAUCAAAGACAUUGGGAUAUACCAUUAUGGUGCAUAAUGGAUGGCUGCAUUGCACCCGCUGAUGAUAUAUAACCGAAGGUCUCCCAAGGAACUAUAAGCUGAGCUGAGCUCUCCUUUAACGGCCACCGCAACUGAACAUAAACGUUUGCCUCAUACACUGAUUGAUUGAAGUGUGUCACAAUGACUUAUACUGAAUGGUAUGGAAUGGAAUGGAAGGCAAAUUGAAUUUACUUAAGUGUAUGUGAGUGUUUUUUUUUGGUUGUUUUUUUUUACUUGAACUUAAUGGAGAUAAAUAAAAUCAUUUACUGAAAUUGUA
Solea solea (common sole) is the source of this 2275-nucleotide long non-coding RNA. RefSeq lists it as uncharacterized. The record is from RefSeq and is a predicted model, not a curated record. The transcript is spliced from 6 exons. NCBI's taxonomy places the organism in Eukaryota, Metazoa, Chordata, Actinopteri, Pleuronectiformes, Soleidae.